This 229-nucleotide long non-coding RNA is filed under the name Lathyrus oleraceus (garden pea). RNAcentral describes it as "Pisum sativum (pea) long non-coding RNA (PSAT_LNC010107)". Lineage: Eukaryota; Viridiplantae; Streptophyta; Magnoliopsida; Fabales; Fabaceae. The record is from RNAcentral.
CACUAGCUCUUAAAGUUUUUUUUUAAUUUUUAUUAGGGAGCAUGUCUUGAUACUAGAAGAUCCACCACAUGUUUAAAUUUUUUUUCUUGGAACUUCAUUAACUAGUUGGAAGAGCAAAAUCCAAAUAGUUAUGUCAAGAUCACCAUCUAAAGCUAAAUUUAAAGCAUUAGCACAAACAACCUGUGAAUGGCAAUGGAUUCUCUACUUGUUAUAAUACUUUCAAAUUAAG